CGGUGACAUAUACAGUAUUGACCUCCUAUAGCUCAUAUAGGGUGAUUAUAACCAGUUAGGAGAAGUACAAAGGCUUUACUGUAAUAGUUAAUAGUUUUCUCCUUCAUCUCUCCACCCAUCCUGCUGAUGACACAUGUAACCCCAUCUUCCCUUUAGAGGUAUACAGGCUGGCAACAGGAGCCAGUCAGCAGCCGGAGCCACUGUCCUGUCUAAGGGGACACCUCUAUACCAGCAUUUCAAAACGGGGGAGCCAACCUCAUUAAGGGCAAGUCAAUAAGAUUGAAGCAGGAAGCUCGAGGGAAACAUGAAUAGAUAACCCCAAAUGAAGGUCCAAUCCUGCAGUUGGGAAACACUUUUGGACAGAAGAAAAUGGAGGGAGGGAAAGAACAGGUCCAAUGAGG
Long non-coding RNA from Oncorhynchus gorbuscha (pink salmon), 401 nucleotides. RefSeq lists it as uncharacterized. The record is from RefSeq and is a predicted model, not a curated record. Lineage: Eukaryota; Metazoa; Chordata; Actinopteri; Salmoniformes; Salmonidae. The transcript has 3 exons.